This is a long non-coding RNA of Heterocephalus glaber (naked mole-rat), 6017 nucleotides long. The record is from Ensembl. Lineage: Eukaryota; Metazoa; Chordata; Mammalia; Rodentia; Bathyergidae.
CGCCCCUCCCUCCCUCUGUCCCUUCCCUCCCUCCCUCCCCUCUAGGCUGGGUCCUUGCACCCGGGUUCCUGGUGUGCUCCGUAGCUGGGACGCGCGGAACUCGAGGCGGGAGUCGACUCUCCGGAUCCGCGUCCCUCCCUUCCCGUUCCCUGCCCCCUUCCCCCACCCCGACGCGAGCUUGGCGCGACAGCCAGAGGAGCCCCGAGUGACAGCUGAUGGAGUGUUCCCUCUCAGAGGCUCAGAAGUGGGUAAGCCUUCAAGGACCUCAUUGCAUUGGGGGGCCUAAAGUUACAGGGACCCUCCUAGGUGUCAACUUUGUGGGCAUUCUGCCUUUGCUCAUCCGUCCUCCUUCCUGGCAGCUUCUCCACUGAGGAGCAGCUCCCCUCAUGACUCUGGGUGCCUCUGGCUCCUAGACUCCACUUUCCCCUGCUCCCUGGGCCUUCCCAGGACCUGUUCUCUGUGGCCAAGGCAAGGGCUUUGGAGGCCUAGACCCAGCCCCUUCUGCACCUGCUCUCUUCCUAGGCCCUGUCGCUCCCUAGGGUGGCCCUGCCUGGCACCUGAGUGUUCCACACCAGGCCUGUCAUCUGGUCCUAAUCCAGUUUCCAGUUUCCACUGCACUACCUGGGGCACACCCCGACCUCAGGCAUCUCAGACCACAGGCUCCUAAAUCCAACUUGUGAUCUUCAUCCACAUUCCCUGGCAUGGUUGGCUUCCCUGUCACCUAUGUAGUCCCCCCAGCCUGUGACCUGGGACUGACAUUCUGCUGCUUCUUUACUCAUGCAACCCCAGAAUGUCCUUGGGGGCAGGGGAGCACCUCCCCUAAGCACUGACCUGUCCACGCUGCUGCCUCCCCCGCUCUGACGCCCACUCUUUCUGUGGUCCCCUGGCUCCAGUGUGGGGUAGGCCUAUACUGGUCUGCCUGGCCUCUUGCAGAAUUCUCUCCACUGACUCUUUGCCUUCAGUGUUCCCUCCCUCAGUCUUCUUUUGUUACUUCAUCUAAAUUUAAAGCAAGGAAGACACCUGUUCUGUGACUGAAUCUAUUGGAGCUGUGGCUCUUACCUCUAAAAGGUAAACCCUUUCCCAUUCCCAAGUGAGGUGAAAUGCAAGCUUUUAAAGAUGAACUUGACUUUUCCUCUGACUGUGGGACUGGCCCUUUCCUUGACCUCCCCUAUGUGCACUCCACUACCACCAGCUCCCAUAAUCUACCGGGGGCUGAAGUGGAUCAGAGAACCUUGGCUUGGGUGUCAAAGCAGGAAGGAGCUUCCAACCCAACCUUCAAAAUUUUAUAGAAAAGAAGAGCAAGGCACAGAGAAGGGUCAAGGCCAGGGUUGCCACCACUGGGGGUUUGUGACAGGGCCUCUUGUGGUUGUGUGUAUUCUUUUGCCAAGACUGUUAUCACAAAUUACCACAACCUGGGUGGUUUAAAACAAGGGAAAUUUGUUCUUUCAACCCUGGAGACUUGAAGUCCAGAAUCAAGGUAUCAUUGGGUUGGUUCCUUCAGGGAGAAGCUGUUCCAGGAGUUACUCUUGGCUUCUAGUGGUUAUGGGCUAUCUUUGGCAUUCCAUGGCUUGUAGCCAUAUCAGUUCAUCUUCUGCUCUCCUUAUGUGUGUGACUGUGUCCAAAUUUCCCUCUUCUUCUAAGGACACAAGUCACUGGAUUAGGACCUGGCAUGCCCUUACCCUAACUUGCUUACACCAUCAGGUUCCAAGUAAAGUCACUCACAGGUACUGGGACUCCAGCAUGUCUUUUUGGUUACACACUUGAACCUAUGGCAGCGUGGCAGAUACAGUCGGAGUUUAUGGUGCUAGAGAGGUGAUGUGAGGUAUGGUACGUGUUGGGUCACCCUAGGGUUCCAUUUGUUGAUGUUUUAGGUUGGGAACUUUUGUGCUGUCCUUGUAACUAAGCAUUUGCAGAUCCUAGGUACUUCUCUGUUACAUGUGUGAGGCUGGAGGACCAAAAUCAAGGGGGUCUCCUUUAAAGAUGUGACUGUACAUCUCAGCCUAGGAGGGUGAAUUGCUUCCCACAGGUAUCUUUUGUUUUUUUUCUUUUUAAACAUUUUGUCAUUGUUCUCCUUUGGACAAUAAACUCACAUACAUGCUAGAACUUCACUGUUUUCUAUUCGUCUCUGUUUUAUUUAACUGACAGGCUUGCUCCUGUUUUUCUUUAGAGGCAAGUGCCUUAUACUGCUGUUUUUUUGAUGGCUCUGGAAGUUCAUUGUUGUGCUGGCCCUCCUGACCUUGGUCUGGCCUUUGCCCAAGUGCGAUCUCUGAGUCAGCAUUUCCGGUGGGCUGGAGGGCUGCGGCAGGAUAGGCCAUGGCUGCAGAGGUUUGGGACACUAGGCCUGCAGGUGGCAAGAAGCUGGGUCUGGGGCUCCAUAUUUAGUCUGGAAUUCACUCCCAGCUGCUGCUCUGAGACUGGGCAGGUGCCAGAAAGGGCGGAGCACUGGUCCUGUGCCAGGGCAGCAUGGCUGAUUACAGCUUGCCUGGAACUUCAGGUCUGCCUGGGGCUGGCCUGUCCCUUUCCUGCUCGUCCACUGACCAGGGGCAGGGAAGAGAGUGAGCACACAUCUCAGCAUGAGAAGCCUGAGGACUGGACAGCGUUCUCUCUCUACAGAGAUGGUGACCAGGGUGCCCCAGAGCAAGGACAUCCCCAAGGUCACCUGCCUUAGUUAGCUAAUGGCAGAGCCCAGAUUUGGGUUUGAGUCCUUUGCCUUUGCUUGGGAUCAUGCUGCCAGGAGGCCAUGCUGUUAUCAGGGUGGGGUCCUCCAGGUACAGCCUUGCCAGAGACCCAGAAGAGAAUGAACUGUACCCCUGGCAGCGUCCAGAUUGGGAAAAUACAAACCUCCCUUCCAGAUUUCUUUUUGCCUCCCUUUCUGCAUCACCUUCCUAUUCCCAUUAGCGCGGCCCCUCCUCCUCUGUCUCCCACAUUAAAGCCUGCUGUGUUAGUCAUUUACACUGUAGUAUGAUGCCUCAUUAGCUCUGCAACCCUGGGAGGUGGGAGGGGUCAGAGCCUUUCACCCACUUUACCGAUGUGGAAACUGGUAGUAGACAGGGAAAAGAUUCCUGUCUUAAAUACCUCAGUAGUGUCUGGGUUUCAGAAGCUGUUCUCAUCCUUGCCCAAUUAGCUUAGAUACCAGUGAGUAAAUUAUUGUAAAGCCUCCACCUGCUAGGCACCAACCUUCCCAGGGGUGAUUUGGAAAUGGCUGUCCUGGCAUCCUGUUUCCACGUGGGACCAGGACCAGAUGUAGUGGCUGGACUCAGAGAAAAACCAUUAGCCAUAACUCAAGUGCAGUGAGUGGAUUAGUAGUGGGUACAAGCCUGAUGCAGAGAUGGACACUGUCAUCCCAUGACACGUGGCUCUUGUCGCUGUUAGCAUUUGGUGGCUGUGAGCUGGCAGAGGGCUCCAGGUGGAGGGAGGAAGGCCUGGCAGUGCUGAGGCAGCCACUGGGAGAGAGUGAUGGGGCUUAAUGGAGCUCAGCAGCAUGGCAGAAGCCAAGCUGGCCUCUCAUGGCUCUUGGUCUCAGAGCCCCAAGGAAAGAAGAACAAAGGAGCUGCUGCCAGGCUUCCCAGCUUCCUCUCGCUCUGAAAGGCUGGCUGCUUCGGAGCAGGGAACGGUGGCACCAGGAUCUGGGGGCCAGAGCAGGUGGGGCCACAGCCAGGCUGGCCAACUGCACUGUGGCACCCCCACAUCCUAUCUCAGGACAAGCCAGUCCAGUUGGUAAAUGAUCCCUCUAAAGUUCUCUGUCAUCCUUGCUACCCUGGUAAUCCUCCCUGACCGGGGAAGGACUGGCAGUAUGUGCCGGUGGCAGUGUGUGCUGGUGGGAGUAUGGCAGCUUCAGGACUCAGCAGGGGUCCCUCAGGUCAGGAUAGCAUUGGGGACAAUACACAGGAGACCAUGGAACAAUGGGCAGGGAUAUCAGUGCUACUCUGAGGUCUCCUGGGAAGACUUAGCAAAAAGGGCAGGUUUGUAGUACAUUUGAAAAGACUUGGCUGCAGCUAAGCAAGAUUAUGUUUAUUAUCGCCUUUGGUAUCAUUGGCCAUAUUAUUGGUAUCAAUAAUAGUGUUUAAAGUUCAGAGCUGAUUUCCAUCUUCUUCAACCCAGAGAGUUAAAACAAAAUGUAGAAGUCUGUUUUCAUGUCUAGGUGUUGAAAUGAGGCCUGAAGAUGGGCACAAGUGAUGGAGCCCAGGCAAGAGCAGGUCUUUGCCUCCUGCAGGCCUAGGACCAGGCCAAGGGACGCUAGCAACAUAGUCAAUCAUAUACCAUGUGAUAGAAGCUCCCCAAAAAUUAUUGAGAGGACUGUUUUCUAUCAAUCAAAUGAUGUGGGCCAAAGAGCUAGGUGUUGUGUGUCCUGUGUCUUGGGUCCCUUCCCUCCCCUCUGCCUGAAAUGUAUGCUGGGCAGGGUAUUUGGGGUAGUGGAGAAUGUGCUGUGCUCUGUGCUGCCCUUUUCACAUGGACCCGGGGAGUCUCCUGCUCCCCUGAUCAGAGGCACAGGCCCUGCACAAAGAGGGCUGAUGCUUGGAUAUACUGUCACUGUUUCAAAAUUUUAUUUUGAGCAAGAAAGCUCACACUUUUUCCUGCAUUGAGCCUCAUGAACUAUGCAACUAGUCCUGCUUGCUCAAGGUCCAACAGUUGUCAGGGGCAAGAGGCCUGUGCUCCCCACUGCCAUGCAGGGGACUUCCAGCUGGCUGGGUUGCCAUGAGGGCAGCUUCUGUGGCAGCUGCUCGGAGGUGGAGCAGCUGAGCAAGGCCAGAGGGGCAUUUCUGGAAUGAGCACUCCUACAUUCCCUGGCUCCCACCCCACUGUCCUUCCCCCAAGUCUCUCCCCUGCCCUCCUCAUGUAGAAAUGCCAGGUGCACUCUGCCUUUGUUGGCAGAAUAGGGAGAGAGAUCCACAAGCCCACACAGUCUGCUCCAUCCCUGUCCUGAAGCUGGCUCAGUUUGUGCUCCCAUCAGGGUUUAUCUUCAAUGGACAGUGGAUGGGAAGAGGAGAACUAUCUGAGGAAUGCUCCUUGCCUGGCUAGUAGGUCAGCUGUGGCAGGCCCAGAGCCCAGCAGCAAGUCCUGAUGGGCAAAGGGACUGAGUGAGAUAGCCAAGAUCAGGAUUUGGAAUUCCAGGUGACAAGUGCUACAGUGCUCAGAAAGGGACAGUAGUGAUUAGUAACAACUUAACUGCUUCAAACAAGUGGGCUCCAAAGUGUGUGUGUGUGUGUGUGUGUGUGUGUGUGUGUGUGUGUGUGUGUACAGGAUGCUCACCUAAAGAAAAUGUUGCAAUGCCUGUGUGUAUAUAUAUAUUUUAAAAGUUACUUUCUAUUUUGAUGUAUGCUUUUUGCAACGCAGAAAAUAUAUUACCAGAGUGUGUGUGUAUAAAUGUGUGUGUUGCCUAUGUAGUAUGUAUGUGCGUUAUGCACAUAUAGUGUGUUUAUUUGCCAGGGCUGAUGUAACAAAGUAUAGCUUUUGUGACUCAAACAACUGAAAUCUGUUGCCUUAUGGUUCUGGAGGCAGGAAGAUCAAGUCAUCUGCAGGGCUGGUUCCUUCUGGGCACCAUGAGGACAAUCUGCUCUGCAUUCUCCUGGUGUCUGAUGGUCGCUGGCAACUUCUGGUGCUCUUUGACUUCUGAUGCAGUUUCCAUGGAAGGCAGUUUCCUAGUCUGCCUUCCACCUGAGGUGUCCUCCUGUGUACAAGACAGCCCAAACACCCCUCCUUCCCUCUUUUUAUGGUACUGAGAUUGAACCCAGGGCCUUUGUGCCGAAUUACCUUCCCAGCCCCAGACCUUUUUUAUUUUGAGAAAGGGUCUUGGAAAGUUGUUCAGACUGGGCUCAAACUUUCAAUCCUCCUGCCUCGGUUUCCCAGAAUGCUGAGAUUUCAGGAUUGUACCACCCUCUCUGGCUUCAAUGUUGAAGGACCACAGUCAGAUUGGAUUGGAGCACACUUUACUUGAGUAUGACCUCAUUGUAAUUAACCAUAUCUGCAAUGACUCUGUUUCCAAAGAAGGUUAUAUUGUGAAGUACUGGGGGUUAGGG